Megalopta genalis is the source of this 1004-nucleotide long non-coding RNA. RefSeq lists it as uncharacterized. Lineage: Eukaryota; Metazoa; Arthropoda; Insecta; Hymenoptera; Halictidae. The record is from RefSeq and is a predicted model, not a curated record.
CAGAUUACUUUGCUAAGUCCCGAACGAUAAAACUGAUUGCAAAAGCUUCCAAAAACAGGGGUUUCAAUGCAAUAUCGUGAUUGGACACAGGCGAGAGACGGACUAGGGACAUCGGAACACACCAAAGGCGGAGGAUCCUGUAUUAUCGUCCGCAUAUUCCUGUACAUACUGUCAAGGCAACUUCGGAAUCUGACUACGCGCAACGUUAUCCCGUGUUCAUCCGGCUCGUUUGUGCUGCUGGAGAUCAAGAUUAUGCGUUGUGUUUAGAAUAUGCUGUUAAGGAUCUGGCCACCCACUCUACCCGGGCUGAAGCUUUCCGCUGUUACAAUAUUAUAUUUCGAACAAGAGUUCUGUUUAUCUGAAUGCUGGGGAUUUGGAUAACGAUGUUGAUGUUGCGUCUAGUUCCGAAACAAUUCACUUACCCUACAACACACAGGAGUAGUGUUAAUUCCGCAUUUGACAUCAAUACCAGCAACUAAAAAUUCAAUCGGAUCCGACACAGAAUUAAUUAAUCUUGAAGAAAAGUUAACGAUGGAAACUGCACGCUUUCAUUCUAGAACACAUGUUAGUGUUAUCGUCAAAAUGUUUGGUUUCAAAGGUGUAAUAUACACUAGCCGCUAAAUGUUUUGUAUCAAUUUUGGGAUCUGUCAACAACAGCUUCCUUUGCAAUUUAUCGCUCGUUAUAUAUUUCAUUGUGGAGUGUACGCACGGCACUUCGCUGUUCUAUAGUGAUCUGCCUCCGAUUAAUUAUGUUGAAUUACUAAAUCUUCCUGGAACAUGAAACUUUAUCUUACCGUAUGAUUACCGUAUGAUUACCGUUGAUUAUCUUACCGUUGUGAUUUCUUAAUUCGAUCAAAGAAACGUUGAAAACUAAGGAUGCAAUUUAAGCAAAAUUGUAUGUCAACACGUUCGUGGACAGAAAAAUUUUAAUGAGUUGUAAAAAUAGACAAGCGAUUUAAACAUAAAUGAUUACAUCGAAGUGCGUUAUAACUUCAAAAGAUAAA